UAGUAUUCAAUUGUCAGAGGUGAAAUUCUUGGAUUUAUUGAAGACUAACUACUGCGAAAGCAUUUGCCAAGGAUGUUUUCAUUAAUCAAGAACGAAAGUUAGGGGAUCGAAGACGAUCAGAUACCGUCGUAGUCUUAACCAUAAACUAUGCCGAUUAGGGAUCGGAUGAUGUUAAUUUUUUAAUGACUCA
RNAcentral lists this ribosomal RNA (190 nucleotides) under uncultured Glomeromycotina. Its description in RNAcentral is "partial 18S ribosomal RNA". It matches the Rfam family "Eukaryotic small subunit ribosomal RNA", at positions 892 to 1078 of the family's 1831-position model. Lineage: Eukaryota; Fungi; Glomeromycota. The record is from RNAcentral.